UACGUAGGGGGCUAGCGUUAUCCGGAAUUACUGGGCGUAAAGGGUGCGUAGGCGGUUUUUUAAGUCGGAAGUGAAAGGCUACGGCUCAACCGUAGUAAGCUUUUGAAACUGGUAAUCUUGAGGGCAGGAGGGGACAGUAGAAUUCCUGGUGUAGCGGUGAAAUGCGUAGAAAUCAGGAGGAAUACCGGUGGCGAAGGCGGCUCUCUGGACUGUAACUGACACUGAGGCACGAAAGCGUGGGGAGCAAACA
This 250-nucleotide ribosomal RNA is filed under the name uncultured bacterium. RNAcentral describes it as "partial 16S ribosomal RNA". It matches the Rfam family "Bacterial small subunit ribosomal RNA", at positions 524 to 774 of the family's 1533-position model. The record is from RNAcentral.